UUUUUGUUUUUUUUUGUUUUUUAUUUUUUAUUUCAAUAACAAAUUUCUACGAGUUUUCCAAAGUUAUAUAAUCCAAAUCGUCCCCCUCCAUUCUUCUCUACCCUCUCUCAGAGCUGGCAAGCAAUUCAGUCUGGGUUAUACGUAUAUUAUCACACAAAACAUGGUUCCAUAUUAUUGAUUUUGUAAGUGAACAACCUUAUAAAACCAAAAUCCUAAAACAUAUACCCAAAAACCAAGUAAUAAAUCAGAUGCUUCCAUCCGCAUUCUUACUUCAACAGUUUUUUCUCUGAAGAUGGAUAGCAUUCUUUUUCAAAAGUCCUUAGAAUUGUUCUGUAUCAUUGUACUGCUGAGAGUAGCUAAGUCUAUCACAGGUGGUCAUUCCAUAAUAUUACUAUUACUGGGUAUGAUGUUUUCCUGGUUCUGCUUAUUUCACUCUGCAUCAGUUCAUGGAGGUCUUUCCAGCUCUUUCUAAAAUUAUCCUGUUCAUCAUUCCUUAUAGCACAAUAGUAUUCCAUCACCAUCAUCACCCACAUCAUUAAAUGUCUUUUGAAGAGACUUCAACUGUCAAACUUCUUUCCUAGUCUCACAUCAAGUCAAAUGUCAUAGGGCAAAAUCUUCAGCCUACCGAACCUUUCCAAUUCCUCAGCCUCCAAAACUAACCAAUUUCACCUCUUAUCUCAUAGUAAAGAAGGUCCAGGGGUCUGAUUUGGUCUAAAAUUCCAUUCUCAUUUGCUUACCCAAAAUAUAAAUAUUCCCCCAAAGUUAAGGCCCUCCAUAAUCUUUGUUACUGAAUUAAUUUAUUCUUAUUGGUUCAACUGUCACCUCUUCAUAGAUUGAAACAUGUUUAUCUAUCCAGCUCUAAUUUCUCACCAGAAAAAAAGCCAUUUCAAUCAUGAUGUAUUAAAAGAUGUACUAAAUCAUUUUGUAUCAUUUUGUAUCUAUCCAGCUCUAAUUUCUCACCAGAAAAAAAAGCCAUUUCAAUCAUGAUGUAUUAAAAGAUGUAUUAAAUCAUUUUGUAUUAUUUUGUAUCUAUCCAGCUCUAAUUUCUCACCAGAAAAAAAAGCCAUUUCAAUCAUGAUGUAUUAAAUGAUGUAUUAAAUCAUUUUGUAUCAUUUUGUAUCAAUCCAGCUCUAAUUUCUCACCAGAAAAAAAGUCAUUUCAAUCAUGAUGUAUUAAAAAAACAUCUAAAAAUAACAUGUCCAGAAUGAAGCUCUGUUAUAUUUUCCCUCAAACCUAUCCUCAUUAUUUAAAAAAAUUUUUUAAACCCUUUCCUUCAUUAUUUUUUUUAAUUUUUUAAAACCCUUUCCUUCCUGCUUAGAAUCAAUACUGUGUCUUGGUUCCAAGGCAGGAGAGUGGUAAGGGCUAGGCAAUGGGGUUUAAGUGACUUGCCCAGGGUCACACAGCUGGGAAGUGUCUAAGGCCAGAUUUGAACCAGAACCUCCCAUCUCUAGACCUGGCUUUCAAUCCACUGAGCUACCCAGCUAACCCCCUCCUUCUUCUAAUUCUAAACUUUCUCUUUUCUUUUAUGAGCAUGACAAUCCUUCUAAACUCCCAGGUUCAUAAAUCUUGGAGGAAUUCUUGCCUCUUCUCUCUCCCUCAACUUCCAUGUACUACUUGUCUCCUUAUUCAGUCUAUCUUUACAUCUAUUACAUCAAUCUCAAUCUCUUCACCUUCUAGCGGUCACUAUGCUAAUUCAUACUUUUCUCAUUUCUCCACUACAUUACUUUAAUAGCCUCCUAAUUGGUCCGACUACCUCUUAUUUCUCCCCCCUCCAAUCCAUCCUUCAUGCUGCGACCAAAUUGAUAUUCUUAACUCACAGCUCUAACCAUUUUCCCCUUACUCAAAAAUGUUCAAUAGCUCUCCGUUGUCUCUAGGAUAAAAUAUUAAAUCCUCAGCCUAUUAUUUAAAUCCUUCCAUAUUCUGUAUUCCACUUCCCUUUCCAAUCACUUCAUAUGUCUCUCUCAUAUAUUCUCCAUCCUUGUUACUCAUGCCCAGUUUCCCAUCCUUCAUCUUCUGUCUCCAUGACAUUGAACCAGUAAGUAGUCCCCGUAUCUGGAAUGCACCUGCAUCUUUCUCGAGAUUAAAUAGUCGUUUCUAAUAGAGUAGAAAGUUGAAAUCAAGAGAAGUUAAGUGAAUUGCCUACGGUCACACAGCUAGUAAAUGGGGCAGGGAGAGAAGAGAAUUUAAACUGGUUUCCUGUGACUCCAACUAUAGCUCUUUCCAUUGAACCUCAACUUUUCCUUUUGCACACGGGUCAUAUCAUUCUUCUGCUGAAAAAUCUUCAGUAACUCCCCAUUGCCUAAAAUUAAAAUUAUUUUCCCCAACAUUCAAGGCUCUCUGUCAUUCCAGGCAUACUUUACUCCUCCAUAAACUCUCCAGUUCAAACUGUACUGUUCUACCGACAAAAGCUUGCCCUGAACUUUACUUUCUCCAUGCCUUUGUUCUCCCUAUUCCCUAAGGCUGUAAUAAUAUCCUCUGUCCAGCUUCCUCUUCGAAUGUAGAAUUCGUACCCAUUCCUUAAAAUGACUCAAUUCCUAUAGAAUGAGGGUUUUUAGAGCUUGUUUUUCAUUUUUGUCUUUGUCCUAGAACACUGCCUUGCCCUCAGCCUUUUAAUAAAUUUUCAUAGACUAGAAUUGAGAUGUUACGUCUCUUCCAGGAUACCUUUCCUGAUCUGCCUCCCCUAAAAAUUUGGUCCCCUCAGAACACCCGGAACACCUUGCUUUGCGUCUUUCUAACGUGUUUAUUAUGUAUUAUCAAGCUUGUAUUAAUGCUGCGUGUGUGUGUUCUCUUUAAGGGUCCUAUAAGCUCCAUGAGAGCAGGGAUGGCUUGCCUUAAACUUUGAGGGUCCCCGUCUCCAUCAUUUGUUAAAUUUAAUGAGAAUUUGUUAGGUGUUUUCUUUUGAAGCUACUGAAACCUUUCCAUCCAUCCUAACCCCCCCCCCCACACACACACACUAUCUAUUCCGAUGCUCCCCGUUAUCUUCUCCUACACCCCAGUAUCGGCACCGAUGCCCCCAUUAACUACCGCUGUACCCCAUCAUCUGCACCAGUGCCCCUCCGUUCCCUAACCCAGCAUUUGCAUUGAUGCCCCCAUUAUCUACCUCGGUACCCCAAGAUCUGCGCCGAUGCCCCCCAUUAUCUACCCCUACACUCCACCAUCUGCACGUUCUCUACUCAGACCCCCUCUCUUCGCCUACACAGUCCGCUCUCUAACCAGACUAAGCACAGAGCACCGUUAGGCCCGGGCAAUGACAAAGACGAGCCCUGGACAGACAAAGAGGCGUUGAAAGGCAAGGAAAGCCGAAUCUCUCCAGUCCUCGAGUUCGGUCGAGCCGCCUUUGAGCUAUCCCCGGCGCGGGGUCCGGGCUGCGCUGGCUCCGAGGCAGGGGAUUUCCGCGAUGUAGGCGAUCCUAAGGCUUAGACGGGAGGCAAGGACUGCCAGACACCGCCCUUCUUCAGCUGGGACCGCUAGCUUCCCUCCUGACGCAGUAGCUAAGAGGGGGCUGAGGAGAUUUAUUUAAAUGAGGGGCGCUCCUGGGCCCGAAGGAAGGCAAAAAUGAGAAUGGCGCACAAAAGGGACGUGCUCCAGGUGAGGCUCGAACUCACAACCUCGGCAUCGCUCUGCCCGUACUGCUGUAUAAGUACCGCGCGCUAACCGAUUGCGCCACUGGAGCUCCGGCGAAGGAGCCUCAGGAUUGCCCUAUCAGGGUUCGCGAUGGCCUCGUGAUGAGGUAGGGACGAUUCUGAGGACUGCACGGAGCAUGCGCUGACUGCCCUCAACUCUAGGGCCAACUCCAAGCCCGCUACUGUCUAUAAGCGGCGCCCGGAGCCGCAGCCCAACGCCUCUAGGGUCUGGAUUGGGCCAUGAGGUCCUGUACUCAGUCAGCCCCGGGAUCACGGCGGUGUUUGCCUAAGGGAGACGGGAAGUAGAGAAGGGGGAGACCGUUAGUUCGGAUUUGGGGCCUCAGCCUAGGGCACCGUCCUUUUCCCCACGGGCUGGCCUGGUUCUGGCCCCCGCUAUCCUCUCCCCGCGUGUGAGACUCGGCGCGUGAGUUUUCCCGUGGCACUUUCCGCCUGCCCGAGGCCACAAAGAAACAGAGCUCGGGGGCCGGAACUACAAGCGAUGGAAGUGGGACUGAGGAGGGUCCGGGACUGGGCCGACCCGGGGAGAAACCGAAAGGGCAGCAACAAAGAGAAGAGCUUGGUACUGUGCCUGACACAUAGUAGACUAGAAGAAGGAUCCAGCAGAUCAUCAAUUGUCAAGAAUUAUAUUUAACAAAAAAAAAUUUCCCAUCUCUAUAUAAAUACACUGUCAAUACAAAUAAUUACAAUGAAAUAUUAAAAUUUUACUUUGAAAUAAACAUGUUCAUAUUCUA
Monodelphis domestica (gray short-tailed opossum) is the source of this 4375-nucleotide long non-coding RNA. RefSeq lists it as uncharacterized. The record is from RefSeq and is a predicted model, not a curated record. NCBI's taxonomy places the organism in Eukaryota, Metazoa, Chordata, Mammalia, Didelphimorphia, Didelphidae.